RNAcentral lists this ribosomal RNA (593 nucleotides) under Willemoesia leptodactyla. Its description in RNAcentral is "partial small subunit ribosomal RNA". It matches the Rfam family "Bacterial large subunit ribosomal RNA", at positions 1798 to 2641 of the family's 2925-position model. The record is from RNAcentral. Lineage: Eukaryota; Metazoa; Arthropoda; Malacostraca; Decapoda; Polychelidae.
GCCUGUUUUACAAAAACAUGUCUCUAUGAUUGGUUUAUAGAGUCUGGCCUGCCCACUGAUUGGAAUAAAGAUUAAAGGGCCGCGGUAUAUUGACCGUGCGAAGGUAGCAUAAUCAUUAGUCUUUUAAUUGAAGGCUGGAAUGAAUGGUUUCACAAGAAAUUUACUGUCUUUAAGUUAAGAUUUGAAUUUUACUUUUAAGUGAAAAGGCUUAGAUGUAUUAAGGGGACGAUAAGACCCUAUAAAACUUUACAUAAAAAAAUUAUUUUAAAAUUUGUUUGUUUAAGAUUGGGAAAGUUUAAAUAUGUUUUGUUGGGGAGACAUGAAUAUAGUGUGGAUAGUAACUGUUCAAAAUUUAGAAAGUCAAAUUAUAAUUGAGAAAAGAGAAAUGGUCCUUAAAAAAGAUUAAAAGAGUAAGUUACUUUAGGGAUAACAGCGUUAUUUUUUUGGAGAGUUCUUAUCAAUAGAAAAGAUUGCGACCUCGAUGUUGAAUUAAAAUUUCUUUAUAAUGCAGUUGUUAUAAGAGAAAGUCUGUUCGACUUUUAAAAUUUUACAUGAUUUGAGUUCAAACCGGCGUGAGCCAGGUUGUUUUCUAU